This 224-nucleotide ribosomal RNA is filed under the name uncultured Carnobacteriaceae bacterium. RNAcentral describes it as "partial 16S ribosomal RNA". It matches the Rfam family "Bacterial small subunit ribosomal RNA", at positions 116 to 334 of the family's 1533-position model. The record is from RNAcentral. Lineage: Bacteria; Bacillati; Bacillota; Bacilli; Lactobacillales; Carnobacteriaceae.
CGUGAGGAACUUGCCCAUGAGCGGGGGACAACAUUCGGAAACGGAUGCUAAUACCCCAUAGGUGGAUUGGUCGCAUGACGAAUUCAUUAAAGGUGGCUUUGCUACCACUCAUGGAUAGCCUCGCGGCGUAUUAGCUAGUUGGUAAGGUAAUGGCUUACCAAGGCAGUGAUACGUAGUCGACUUGAGAGGGUGAUCGGCCACACUGGGACUGAGACACAGCCCAG